Non-coding RNA from Chelonoidis abingdonii (Abingdon island giant tortoise), 451 nucleotides. Lineage: Eukaryota; Metazoa; Chordata; Testudines; Testudinidae. The record is from RefSeq and is a predicted model, not a curated record.
AGGAGAACUAUGAGAAUGUGACCUCGCUGGGGUUUCUGGUUUCCAAAUCUGAUGUGAUCUCCCAGCUGGAACAGGGGGAAGACCCAUGGGUCCCAGACCUCCAGGGUUCAGAGGAAAGAGAGAUCCUGAGAUCUCCCUGCACAGGUGAGGAAACAUUAAACCAACUCAGAAUCUCAGGUGAUGCAAUGGUAGGUGAGAAAGAGGAGCAGAAUUCUCAGCAGGGAAAUGUUGAGCAAGUGGAUAAACACAGAGAAUUAUCACAAAGAAUGAAAAGGAAUGUGUCCAGGAGUCAUGAGCAGAGAAGAUCCUGUGAGAUUCAGCACAGGCCAGAAAAAGAGAAGGGAAAACAGCCAGGGGAGAAAAUGGAUAAAUUUAUUUCCUGUCAGGGAACUCAGAAGGGCCUUAAGGAAACCAGAACACAGCAGGAAAUCCUCAGGGAAAAGCAAAAAAA